Non-coding RNA from Cinara cedri, 320 nucleotides. The record is from the annotation of a GenBank genome assembly. Lineage: Eukaryota; Metazoa; Arthropoda; Insecta; Hemiptera; Aphididae.
ACUGUAGAUAGUAUAUUCCUUUAGAUGCUUACUUAACAUGGAAAACUUUAAACUUCUGCCGGCGUUACUUCAUACGAAACAUAGAUCAAUAGAAUAUGUUCAACUGGUCGCUUUCCCAACUUGUUUAAUAUUAAUUACAUAAAUUGUACGAGUUUAAUAUAGGGCGUAUUACUCCAUUAUAUUAGGAGUACAGACCCGAGCAAAUUCGCGUGAGAAAUAAACGAGAAAAAUUAAACACGGCAGAAUAAUUGUUCUUAGAUACGUAUAUACAAAUUUUAUUCGAGUAUACUUUUUUCGUCAACCAUUUAAUCGAACCGACC